GAACGUCAAUUUUCAUGAUUAUUUCACGACGAAGAUCAUCACAUCAAUGAAUCAAAUAAUACGGACAUGCUUUUGGUAUUAGCAGGGUGCUGGCACCAUAUGCAACAAUGCUUUCAUCUGUGAAUACCCACUUGCUAAGCCCACCAUGAACUACGAAGGCUAAUUGAUAUGUAAGGACACCAAUUAACAGACACUUUCCCAUUAUCGUACAUCACAUACAUGGGUGGUCAAACUCACUGGAUGGUUUAUCAACACUCCCAUGCUCAUGAACAGCCUUGCCCCAGGAAUUUUGCCCUGAAGUAACAUUGCAGUCUAUUGUUUCCAUUCUUUUUACAACCCUGGCAGCCAUGCAGGUAUGCAAUCUAUGAAAGCCAUGAAGGGACAUAGAAUUUUUAAAAAUUUAUAAAAGUAAACCGAGUUCUCGAUUUAUACAAUCCGUUCUCUCGGAUUGACAAUCUUUCAUAACAAAUUGCCAAUUCAUUCUCGCAGAUUAUCAAUCCGUUCCCUCAAAUUACUCUUUGUUUAAAUGA
Saccostrea cuccullata (small rock oyster) is the source of this 530-nucleotide long non-coding RNA. RefSeq lists it as uncharacterized. The record is from RefSeq and is a predicted model, not a curated record. The transcript has 3 exons. Lineage: Eukaryota; Metazoa; Mollusca; Bivalvia; Ostreida; Ostreidae.